Molecule: transfer RNA, 73 nt
Filed under: Ruthenibacterium lactatiformans
Lineage: Bacteria; Bacillati; Bacillota; Clostridia; Eubacteriales; Oscillospiraceae
Rfam family: tRNA
About the family: Transfer RNA (tRNA) molecules are approximately 80 nucleotides in length. Their secondary structure includes four short double-helical elements and three loops (D, anti-codon, and T loops).
Source: Rfam by way of RNAcentral
GCUGGUGUGGCUCAGUCGGUAGAGCAGCUCACUCGUAAUGAGCAGGUCGUCCGUUCGAAUCGGAUCACCAGCU